GGCCAGCCGUAGGGAUGUGGGGGAGUAGAGCACAGAGCCGUCCUCUAUGUCCCCUCUGCUCAGGAGCCCUUUCCAA
RNAcentral lists this unclassified non-coding RNA (76 nucleotides) under Mus musculus (house mouse). Its description in RNAcentral is "partial derived from hnRNA or mRNA fragment, or novel small non-messenger RNA without known sequence-or structural motifs". The record is from RNAcentral. Lineage: Eukaryota; Metazoa; Chordata; Mammalia; Rodentia; Muridae.